This is a long non-coding RNA of Apis cerana (Asiatic honeybee), 4233 nucleotides long. RefSeq lists it as uncharacterized. NCBI's taxonomy places the organism in Eukaryota, Metazoa, Arthropoda, Insecta, Hymenoptera, Apidae. The record is from RefSeq and is a predicted model, not a curated record.
AGAUGAUGCGCAUAAAAAGCCAGUAAGUGAGCGUCGUUACGUGAGCAUGAAAAAAUAAAUUAUACUUCAAAGUAACAAAUGUCAAUUUGUGAUUUACUGUAUAAUUAUAGUGACUAUUUUCGCGUGAAAAAAAUAUAUAACAUCGAAAGCAAGUAGUAAAAGAAAGAAAAGAUAAAAAAAUUAACCUUAAUUAACAAGAUUGUCAUUUGUGUUUCGUGUCGACAAGUACUUUCAUAUGUCAUUAUGUUUUCACGGAUUCGAAGAAUAUGGAAGAUCAAGCAAUUACUUUAAAACAAUUAUUUCUAACACUAAAACUAUCCGACAAGAACAUAAAAUAUAGUUUGAAGUAAUCUUUCGUUCCACCGGCGACAGGCGGCGUAUGGUUGUCAGAAAGCAACGCGGGAUAACCGCAUCGCGCAGACCGAAACUAGCAAAAAUAAACACUUUGCCGCGAGGCCAUGAACCAUUAUAUACUAUGUAUAGUUCGUUCAGAGACGUAUCGAAGUCAUAAAUUAUUAUAUCAAUCGGUUGUACGAUUGUCGCUAUAGUGACAUUUCUUAUAUCGUCGAAACAUUUUUCUAGAUUGAUUUCAUAACCUCUUUAUGUUUUUAACAGAUAUCUAGUAUAUAUACAUAUAGUACAUUGGAGUAUAAAGUUUGUCCAAAAAACAAUUAUCAAGAGUCAGCAUAGGAUUAUAAUAAUUUACGAAAAAUAUCGUCAUCGUUUUCUUGGAAAGACGAAAACGAGCACCCAAAGACGAGCGUGCAUUGACGCCGCCCGAUACUGGGUGGUAAGUCCAUCGGUGCAUAGUGGUGCAAUCAGUUGUAGCAACGAUGUUAUAUUGGUAGUGGUGCAUCGUUUACGGUAGAGGGGGCGAAAGUAUGACGAGAAGAGCAACGAAAUGGUUGAAGGGUGGGAGGAAGAAAGAGAUUGUUAAGUUAUGUUAGUCGAUAUACGGGUUUGUUUGCGUAGUCAGUGACGGUGUAGGAGAGCGCGCGGCAACUGGGAGAGUAAAACGGCGCAAAGAAAAGAGAAAAAGAAGAAGAGGGAGGCGAAGUUGCGACCAGGGUGCCAGGGGGUCUGGCCCAAGCCUGUUUGUCGGUCCCGUUGCCCUAUAAUCGUGGUAUACGGAUAAUGGUUUGGGUUAAGGGGACGUCAGGAUGGGCCGUGCUAGAGGGGAAAGAGAUCAGAGUAAAGAACGUGUAUAGAAGAGCCGGCAGCAGCGGCGUCGAGACAGAGCAGUUUCAAACGUCUUGCACUUUCGUAGACGAAAAGGACGAGCCGACGCACACCCAAUCGAGCGAAACUUUCGCUGGCUCGGCUUACCCAUCGUUUGGCAAAGCUUUUCUUUCGAUCUCGUUCUUGUCCAGGGAACCAAGCGAUGAUUUCUGGCCCAGCUAUGCUAGCUUGAAAAUGUAAUUACCGAGAAAGCCAGUGGAGAAUGUUCCGCUGACGCUUGAGGAAUAGUUAUUGAAAAAUAUAAUAUUUUGCUCAUAUUUGGCUGAUUCAAAUACAUUUUUAUAAAAUUUGAAUGAUGUAUAGUUUUAUUAUAUUAGAAAUUAAUUAAUUCAUUGAAGGAUGAAUGAGAUAAUAGACGAAAUAAUUUUCAUGAUAUGCUUGCAUAAAAUUGAUUCUGUUUUCAGGAAGCAGCCACGAGGAAACUCUUCUUACAAUAAUUUUUUCCAUAUAUAUAUCAACAUAAAGUUUUAUAUUACGAAAAACUAAAGCACGAGAUGAAAAGAACCAUGUAUUAAAGAUAACAGGACAAGAAAUUGUAGCAUUGUCCAUCUAUAACAGUGAGUUGAAUGCUUGUUUAACGCGUGUACGAUACGCGAAAGAAUUUGCUGCGAGUUGAGAGGGGGAUUUGCCCGAUUGGUUCGAUGUUUUCUACAUUGACAAACACAGUGCUAGCGCGGGAAGAGGGUUGGAUUCGAUCGUGAAAUUUUUUGGAAGAGUAGAGUUUCAUUAUCUAAACACAUCGUCGUCGAAUAUAUUGACAGGGAGGCGGGAAAAAAAGGGAGGAGGAAAGGGAUGAUGGGGAUGGUGCAGAAGCGGCGGAUGGCGUCGGCGACAGCCGGCAGAGCCACGUCGUCGCCGUCGAACGGACGACGAUGAAACGACGGGCAGGCUCUCUCGUGCAGACGAAACGUGUGGAGUGAGAGACGGAAAGGGAGAAAGAGACAGCCGGGCGCCGAUUCCAGCGACCGGCCGGCUAACCUCGACGCCAACCGUGGAACGUCGCCGACACCGUCGCCGCCACUGGCCGACCCACGACACCACGACGAAGACGACGAUGACGACGAGCACGACGACCACGACGACGAUGUCGACGACGACCACGACGUCGACCAAUGCAAGAAUACUUCUUCUGUUGGCAUCGUGGCAUCGUCACGACGGGGGUGGGACAGUGUGCGUCGGUCGCCAAGCAGGAGGGCGCCCUUCCCUACUCCCAGCCUCCAUUCGCAUCUCCUUUUGCACACCGACGCACAUGUUUGCUUUGGUAUUGUCAGCUGAAUUUCCCGAUCCCGGGAUACGUCAAUAGCGUGAUGUUUUGUUCGGGAAUAAUUAUGAAUCUGUGGACUUACGUGGCGAGCGGUGCCAGCGCGUCUUUACUAUCUCUAACGGGGGUUCCCUUCGUUCGCCCUCCUCUUUAGAAAAACGGAACGACGAUCCCCCAUCCUUUCCUUUCGGUCGCUCCUCGAUCGUAAGAAUCGUUUGUUCUGGGGGAAUGGCGUUUGGUUUUAUGGUUCUUACGGAAUUCAUGUAAUAUCGAUCAAGCUACGAAAGAAAUGUUUUCAAAACCUGUUUACUUCGAAAAGUUUUCCUCUUCGAAUCCGUUUACUCGCGGCUCCUAGGGUAAUCGUAAAUAGAUCGACGAUUCAAAUUAAGGCCGCGUCUGUCUUGACGUGUGAAAGAUUAUUAGUUUUUUUGUUUUAUUAAUCAAAAAAUGCAACAGUAUAUUGUGUGCGUAUUUAUAUAUAUAUAUAUAUAUAUAUAUAUAUAUGAAGUAUCGUUUUUCUCUGUCGAAUAUUACUAUUAGAUAUCUGAAAAGAAUUUAUUUUUUAUUGAAGUACGUAUCUUUUAUUAAAAUAUUUCUUAUGCAUUCUAUCUUUGAAGUAAUAUGAUAGCAACUUCGUUAUAAAAAAUAAGAAAAAAAGAAAGAGCUACAUAAAGAUUCGUAUCGUAAAAUAAUAAACAUAAUUGAGACAUAAUUUGUUAAAAACAUUACAAGAAUAUAAAACUUGAACAAAUGGCGAUUCGAACGGUUGAAUUGCCACGAGUACUCCUAGAUCCAGCACGAUAACUCAUUUUUUCGGCGGAUAGAAACGGCGCCUGUGUGUAUAGAGGAUGUUCCCUCCCGGUACCCAUGUUUUAACCCAUGCCAGCGCCUACCCCCGGCAUAUCCACGAAAAGUAGAAGCGAGCCAUUGGGGCGGAAGAUGACUACGACGGCUCCAGCGAGGGGCGCCAAGUGUUUUGAUGCUUGUUAUGCGAAGGGGAGCUUGAUAAACAACGAGUUGGAGAACGAAGCCGGACCUAGAUCGUCACCAUCACCUCUUCCACCCACACUCGAAACCGACAUCCGACUGACUGGCUACGAUUGUGUCAUUACAAGAGAAUUGAUAUCACGAUACUAUAACCGUCCCUUCUUGUUUUUUCCUCUAUAGUAUAUACAGGAGGAGGGUACGACUCGUAAAGUGGAAUCGCUAACGCGCGUUGAUUGCUUGGCAACAAAUUGAAAUCGCCCGGUACCGUUACAAAUGUGCAAUAAUCCGUGGAAUCUAAAAGUAUCCGGUAGACCUUAUUUCGAUUUGUAAGUUUUCUAAAUAAAUAUUCGAUAUUAUGGAUAUAGGGAAAAUUGAUGAAGAGAUGAAGAAAUGAUUAUCGUGAUAAUAGAUUACUGUAAUGGUAUAAAAGCUGUUUUGAAUAAUCGAAUUUUUUAGAAAUUUUUUUAAAAAAUUGAAUAAAUUUAAUAAAUCAUGGAAAAAGAUUAAAACAUUUAGUUUUAAUCAAUUAGAUAAAUUCUUGAAACAUCACGUAUAUCAAUGAAUUUAAUAUUUGCAGUAAAACAAAUUUAAAAAAAUCAAUAUUUAACAGAAAAAAAAUAAGGAUUCUUAUUCUUUUUUCUCUUCUCUAUUAAUUGUUCUAAUUAUAUUAUUAAAAAAACAAUAUGAAAUAUGAAUUUAACAUGUAAUAAAAUAUUAACAAAAUAAAUUUUGAAACUUUAUUUGAA